RNAcentral lists this long non-coding RNA (3345 nucleotides) under Homo sapiens (human). RNAcentral's name for it is "HSALNT0383803". Lineage: Eukaryota; Metazoa; Chordata; Mammalia; Primates; Hominidae. The record is from RNAcentral.
ACUUGCAAUCAUUCAGGGCAAAAACAGCAGCUGCCUGAUAGAAGACUGUUUCAAGAUGUUAUGGAAUACAUGUUUGUGUCUCUGCAAAAUGCAGAUGUUGGAGCCGUGGAGGUGGGUGGCUUUGGGAGAUAAACCCUUCGGAGGCAGCUCAUGGCCUUUCAAAUUCAUGCAUUACACAUGCAGAUUUCAGGGCUCCAUCCCAGACCUCAGGAGUCGGCAUCAGGCGCAUGGAAGUUUGAGGAGUGCUGAGGUUGAGGGAUGAAGUCACACAAGGAAGUUCCCGCCUUGAACACAAGACAGGUGCUACAGCAACGCGACUCCCGCCCUGCUGGUGUUGGGGGCACCUUGGAGGAAGCUGGCUGCACACUGGGAUCUACUGCAUGCAGCUACCUGGUGAGCUUUGAAAAAUCCCACACCAAUACAAUCCGAUGGUGGAGGGGGUCCCAAGACCCAGAGCUCAGUGUUUAUAAAGCUCUCCAAGUGCUUGCAGUGGGCAUUCAGAACCGAGGGCCUCCGACUUAACCUGAACCUCCUCUCAGGUCCCUGUGGAGAAUGCAAAGAGCUCUCUUUUCUUCCUGUUAAGGAGUAGUUGUGUCUCUGCACACACAAAUAUGUAUAAUUAAGCAAGAACAACAUCCAGGCGCAGCCCUGACUGCAGUCUAUAGCCAGAUGACAGGUGUGCCUAAAGGUAAGGGAGCAAAGGCUUUCAGUCAAAAUUCUUUUUAGAGGCCAGGUGCGGUGGCUCACGCCUGUAAUCCCAGCACAUUGGGAGGCUGAGGCAGGCGGAUCACGAGGUGAGGAGUUUGAGACCAGCCUGGCCAACAUAGUGAAACCUUGUCUCUACUAAAAAUACAAAAAUUAGCCAGGCGUGGUGGCGUGCACCUGUAAUCCUAGCUACUCGGGAGGCUGAGGCAGGAAAAUGGCUUGAACCCAGGAGGUGGAGGUUGUGGUGAGCUGCGAUCGUGCCACUGCACUCCAGCCUGGGCAACAGAGCAAGACUCCAUCUCAAAAAAAAAAAAAAUCACUUACAAAAGCAAUCUGGUAAGUAGUUGUACCCAGAAACUGAGAGUCCACACAAAUGUGGUAGAUGAAGGGAAAAGCCAACGUUCCCAAUGCGGAACAAAGCCACGGAGCCGAACGCUAAACGCAGAGCGAAGUCACGCCAAUCCCCUGCAAAACCACGCGAGUGGUCCACUGGGAGCGGGACAGACUGAAAAAAGGGCAGCAUUUGAGUGAAGUCAGAUACAACCACGUGCCCUCUGGCAAACCGACAGGCGACUCAAAGUGGAGCUGGUGACGAUGAGACCAACACUACAAUCACCAGGUUGCACCACACAAAACUGCUUCUAUUCAACUGUUUUGACCUCAAAGCAUCCAUUUCAUAAGGCUCCAUUUUAUAACAUACCAAGGAAAAUAGCAACAUUUCUAAAUUUGAAUGUUUAUAAUGCAUAACUUUAAAUAUGAAUGUAUAACUACAUCAAUAAGUUACUUAAUGGCAGGCAUUUGAUGAGUCCACUUACAUCACUAGAGACUUUUAUAUCUAAAUGUGUUAUGUAAUUCAAAAGAAACCCUGCUUCCUGGGAAAACGGGAUUACCAUAUAAUCAGGGUUAAUUUCUGUGACUAUUUGGCACGUAUGAGGCCCACUUAAGAACAGAGGGCUGGGUGCGGUGGCUCACACCUGUAACCCCAGCAUUUUGGGAGGCUGCAGUGGGCAGGUCACCUGAGGCCAGAAGUUCGAGACCAGCCUGGCCCACAUGGCAAAACGCUGUCUCUACUAAAAAUAUAAAAAUUAGCUGGGCAUGGUGGUGAGCACCUGUAAUCCCAGCUACUUGGGAGGCUGAGACAGGAGAAUCACUUCAACCCAGGAGGCAGAGGUUGCAGUUAGCUGAGAUUGCACCACUGCACUCCAGCUUGGGUGAUAGAGCAAGACUCUGUUUCAAAAAAGUAAAAACUAAAAACAGAGAGAUACACCUGCUGCCUGCCGACCUGCAGGCAACACCAACAUCCCUUUUCUCUUCAGAUCUUUUCUCGGGCCAUUGGCCACAGUGCCGCCUCUACUGCAAAACAUGUACCCAGGAGGGAAAGGCAGGCAGCCUCCUAUUCCUUUCUGGAGAGAGGAGCAUGGGGCAGGGGGCUGUUGGAUUUCUGGGGAGGAAACUGCACAGAUGGAUGGAGGAACCCGCCUCACUCCCCUGCAUCUCCUGAAGAGGUGUCCGUGCCCUGCCAGCUGGGGAGUCAGUCCCACUGAAUCACUGCUGUUAAGGGGCUCAGCCCUGCAGGAGUGCCAGGAAGGGCUUCCGUUUCUUCUGCGAGUGUUGCUGAUAUGUAUGUGAAAAUCACACAAGGGCAAGGGCUUCACCCUGUGCGUCUAUUAAAACCAAGUGCAGCAUUGGCAAGGUUUCUGCCUGGAAAUGAUCAAUGACCAUCGUAAAACUCAGGCAUUUGAGGUGACCUUGCAGACGUGUCCCCUCUGAAAGGUCUUAGUCUUGUGCAGCCUGCUCUGGGGCCGAGGGGAAAAGGCUGACAUGUGGCACGUCUCCAGCAUAUGCAGAUGGUAUGCCUGCUCUUCCCAGUGGACCCCUCGUAGGCCUCCACGGCAGCACGGAACGUUCCACAACAAUCCUCAGGGCUGAUGCCGGCCACUGAGGUUGGCACGGGUCCACGUCUUGCUCAAAGUUGCAGAGGUAGGAGUGGCGAGUGGUCCAGGGACCCCAUCUCAUGGAAUGAAUUCCACCCUCCUAUGUGAAUAAGAGGUUGUACUGAAUGGAGCUUUAAUCGGAAGCGGGAAUCAAAGAACCAGGUCACUGCCCAUCUCCACCAUUUACUCAUUAUCUUUCCUAGCAUGGGUCACUGGCUUUUAAUUUUCCAGUCUAUAAAUAGAACUGCUCCAUGAGAUCAUGGAAGGGUGUCUCCAAAGUCCUUCAACAGGGACAGGUGUCUGUUCUCACUGUUCACUAGUGCCCCCAUGAGGCAGGGCCAGGUGUGAGGCAGUUCUGAGGGCAGGUGGUCCCAAGGGCUCUGCCCCUUGUAGGCAUUUUACUCUCAUCAGAAUUAGGGUUUGCUUAAUUCUAGCUGGAGUCCUAGUGGGCACUGUUCACACAGCUGUGGGCUAUGAGUGGCUCUGACUCACCUGGGAGAAUUUUUGAGAAUUUUGGGGUGUUUGCUUAACUGCCUGGAGCUGUGUCUGGGCCAGCCCCCUAGAGGAUGCUUCCAUGUGUUAGGUGAGAAGACAAGUUACAAAGUGGCAUGUACAGAAACCACCCCGUUUUUGUUUAAUAUAGAUGUGUGUAUACCUAUGUAACAGUUUGGAAGACAAACCGUUAUAAAAAUUUACCAUGUCAUCA